UUUAAAUGUAGAGGUAUGAGCAUAAUAACACUGACAAUAAUAUGGAUGCAUAAUUGGGAUGUGAUACCUGUAACAAAGGUGACAGUAAAGGCCUUGGAAGAAAUAAGGAACAUGACAACAAAAGACGCAGUGGCAGAGGUUGAUCAUGGACCACUGGAUGAGAGUGAAAUGGAGGCCAUGGAGAUGGCAAUAAGGAAUGACAUGGAGAGGCGUGGGCUUGUUUAAAAACGAUCCAAUAAAGGUUUCUU
Long non-coding RNA from Melanotaenia boesemani (Boeseman's rainbowfish), 248 nucleotides. RefSeq lists it as uncharacterized. The record is from RefSeq and is a predicted model, not a curated record. The transcript is spliced from 2 exons. NCBI's taxonomy places the organism in Eukaryota, Metazoa, Chordata, Actinopteri, Atheriniformes, Melanotaeniidae.